This 396-nucleotide ribosomal RNA is filed under the name uncultured soil bacterium. RNAcentral's name for it is "bacterial SSU rRNA". It matches the Rfam family "Bacterial small subunit ribosomal RNA", at positions 26 to 422 of the family's 1533-position model. The record is from RNAcentral.
AGAUUGAACGCUGGCGGCAGGCCUAACACAUGCAAGUCGAGCGGUAGAGAGGUGCUUGCACCUCUUGAGAGCGGCGGACGGGUGAGUAAUGCCUAGGAAUCUGCCUAGUGGUGGGGGAUAACGUUCGGAAACGGACGCUAAUACCGCAUACGUCCUACGGGAGAAAGCGGGGGACCUUCGGGCCUCGCGCCAUUAGAUGAGCCUAGGUCGGAUUAGCUAGUUGGUGAGGUAAUGGCUCACCAAGGCGACGAUCCGUAACUGGUCUGAGAGGAUGAUCAGUCACACUGGACCUGAGACACGGUCCAGACUCCGUACGGGAGCGAGCAGGUGGGAAUAUGGAACAGUGGCGAAAGCCUGGUCCAGCAUGCCGCGUGUGUAGAAGGUAAGGUCGUUGGA